CCGACCAAAUCUGAAGAGGUGUCGAUAUAGUAUUAUUGCACGUGAGAAAUAAAAGAGCGUGCGGGGCAGAGAGAAAGGGCGAACGGUGAUAGAGAGUUGGAGAAAACACGGAAGAGGUUGGUAAUAGCACGGAAUUUUAGGCGAGUGAGCGUGGAAGUCUGGAUGGGGGGAUCCCGAGGAGAAGAUUUCACAAACGGCCACGACACCAGACAUGAGUCCGAGUAGUCUCAACUCUGACAGAGGGCCAUGCUAUCAUUGACAGGCCAAAGUGACUGCUCCGCUGCUGCCUUAAUACACACACAGGGACUGGGAGCUGCUAAUGUGACGGCGUUGUGAACAUGAGAGCUGGGCGCUAGCUGCCUCUGACAGUGCUCUGCUCGUGGUGCGGCGGCAGGCCGCGCAGUCUGUGUGGGUGAACAGCACAGCACACCCCAGCUGCUGGCCUCCCAGUCUUCCAGUAAUCCCUGUGAAAUCUCACAUUCUCCCUGACAAUUCACACUGUCUGUCGGCCUGACGCCCCAUUUCAUGCCUGCCAUCCAGCCCCUCUGAUCCACACCAUAACAAGACACCCGAGCACUGCCGAGCCGAGUCCUACAUCUGCCCUUCCCUGUCUCCCUGCUAGGAGGCUAUCAAGCACAGUACAGUACAGUGGCACGUCUCUAUCAACUGAUGAGCACUUAUGGGUUUGGGGUUGAAGGCACUUAUUGUUUUGUUAAAUGUUUUAGAAUGUUUAUUCCAAAGAGCAUGCUGGCUUAUUAUUUGUCUAUGUUGUCGGACUUUAUGUCAGAUUGGAGUUUGUUGACCACUAUAGUGCCAAUGCCAACCUCAGUAGGUGAAUGUGAAGACUAAAGCCAUGAAUGCACUGUGAUAGACUUAGUGAAUCUUAAAACCUUAGCUUGGAGACUGAGACAAUAAGCCCUACUAUUGUGGGAUUGUAUUAAUGUACAACAUUAAUUGAAGGGUUUUAUUCUGUAGCAUAAUGAGCAUAUCAAGGUGUUGUUUUUCUGUCACAUAUUCUUUCUCUUUCUUGAUUUUGAACCAAAGCAAAGUAAAACUGGUGCUUACCUCAGGACUGAACCCAGCAUGGGGACGCAAUGCUUUAGCUACACACCAACCAAACAACACACACGUACACACUUACGUACAUGCAGAUACACAGCACAGACAUUUACAUACAUUUUCAUUUUUUAUUUUGAGGGGACAAUAGUCCUGUGUUAAACCUGUGGUAAUUUCAUGGUUAUGAGAUGUUUUACUUGUCUUACGGUUUUGUUGAUAACAUGUGAUAUUAACAUUUUCCUCUUACUUUAAUAGGCUGUGUACAUGUUCCUUUUUUACUGUCCUAAUAGAGGCUUUGUAUGGGUUUGACCAAUGACAUUAUCUUAAUAAGGAAAAGUCAAGCUGGUGAUUUUCUCUUACCUUUGGAAACCAAAUUGUUAACUUUAAUUCAACAGAAUAUACAAAUGUAAAUGUUGAUAGGGCUUGUAAGGCAAGACAUAAAGGUAAUACCUCUGGUUCCAAAGAAACAUAUAUACUGUCUAUGUGAAUGAGGUAUUUUAUUUUUCACCCGAAGCCUUAAUGUUUAGUGACGUGUUUGGUUGCACACGAGGAGUGAUGUAUUUAUCAAUAUUUCCCUAAACAGAUAAACAGUGGCUGGACUCUGAGUGGAUGAAAGCUAUAGCCUCAAGUUGUUUGACCCAUUUCUCUGGAGGAGGCUUUGUGAGCUGAUGAUGAAUAAGGCUGUGUGUAUUUAUACACAAACACACUUUAAGCCAGCUUGUUUUGGACUGCAGGACAUGCAGCGGUUCCCAGCAGCCUACGUGAAACACAAAAAUCCACACUUGGCUCCAAAGUUAAUUUAGAAAAAUAGUCUGCAUGGAAACUGUAUGGGCACAGCUGUUUUGUUAUAACAUAAGAAACUAGUUUAAAUGACAUGUGAAUUGACAGGGGCAGUGGACAGUAUCAAUCUUCUAUUUAUCAUGGCAGUAUGAGGUUGGACCACAGACAUGUGAAGCCCCAUAGACAAGAGGGAACAGCCCAUUUGAAGAUGGUGGGAAUAUAAAUCUCUCCUGCUUGUUCUGUCUCUCAUUCAUUAGUUCACUCUCACUGAAAGUCUAUCUCCCGUUUCCUUUUCUCGCGCCGUUAAAACAAGAA
Salmo salar (Atlantic salmon) is the source of this 2151-nucleotide non-coding RNA. Lineage: Eukaryota; Metazoa; Chordata; Actinopteri; Salmoniformes; Salmonidae. The record is from RefSeq and is a predicted model, not a curated record.